This is a long non-coding RNA of Raphanus sativus (radish), 1306 nucleotides long. RefSeq lists it as uncharacterized. The record is from RefSeq and is a predicted model, not a curated record. The transcript has 2 exons. NCBI's taxonomy places the organism in Eukaryota, Viridiplantae, Streptophyta, Magnoliopsida, Brassicales, Brassicaceae.
ACAGAAGAAAAGACCGAAGCCAGAUCCAAGGAGAGUUCCAAUCGAGUGAAUGUGUAAACAUAAUAAUCAAUUCCAACAGGACAAAGAAGCUAAACACAAACUAAAAAUGAGUAAACCACGAUGAGAGAAGCGAUAUUGGAGGAGCACGACCUGUAGCACGACGAGUAAUAAUAUCCAACUUGGCUCUAAUCUGGAGGGAGAUGUCUGCAACCAGAGCAGAAGCUGGGCGAGUGUUAUCAGAAUGUAUUCUUGUGUUCCUCUCUUUCCAAAUGAAGUAAAGGGAAGCUUGGAACGCAAGCUUGAUGAUUAAGGCCAUAUUAGCACAAGGCGAUGGCCGUUUGACCCAACGAAGCGCAGCUUCAAAGGAUGGAGGAGGAGUUAAAUGACAUCGAGAGUAGAAGUAAGACCAGACCUGAGAGCUGUAGUUACAAUCGAAGAACAGGUGCUGGUGAGACUAUGUAUCUUGAUUGCACAGGACACACAUAUUUGGAACUUGAAGGCCCCAUGAGAGCAUUCUGUCUCGAGUUGGUAAUCUGUUCCGAGCCGAAACCCAAGUAAGGAAAGCAUGCUUAGGUAUCCUACCUUUGAACCAGACCGCCUCAUACCAAUCCACCUCUGGUGCCUGAUUAUACAGAUGAUUCCACGUUCUAGAGGUGGAGAAGGUUUCAGUAGGUACCCCGUCUCCUAACCUCCAUAAAUAUUUAUCAUCUUGAUCAGAGUUUAUGAUAGGUUGGGAAGGAGGGAGACACUGCUUGAGCAUCAAUAGAACAGGAUUCCUACUCCUUGAGCGCGCAGUUCUCCAAUCCCCAUGAGAAAAAGCGUCUCCAACCAUUGUGUAUUGACUGAUUCCUGAGAUCCUGGGACCACUCUCACCAACUAUAUCUAUAAGAGGACCCAACAAAGUCCAAUUAUCCUCCCAGAAGCUUGCUGUAGUACCCGACCCUACAUCACAAACCACAAAUUGCCUCGCAUCCACUCUGAGAGAGCACAAAGCUUUUCAAACCCAACUGUCACUCUGAGCAGGAACAAGAGACCAGAAGUUUUGAUUACCUAUAAGGUGUAUCCUUACCCACGAGCGGUUUUUGUUGAUAAGCUUUUUAGGAAGUGAUCUAUGAAUGAGGAUGACAAAGAUGUGUUCUGUCUGAACAUAUUGCCAUGUUUUGUUUUGUUUUUUUUUCUGACUAAAACAUAUUGCCAUGUUGCCCUGUCUUUUCAUGAGUCGUUGUAUGUCAAGGAAACUGGAAGUUUGAUUUUGGAACAGAUGAUUUUAAAUAUAUAUAUAUAUAUAACUAAUCAGAGUAGUGCA